This 433-nucleotide ribosomal RNA is filed under the name uncultured bacterium. Its description in RNAcentral is "partial 16S ribosomal RNA". It matches the Rfam family "Bacterial small subunit ribosomal RNA", at positions 29 to 507 of the family's 1533-position model. The record is from RNAcentral.
AACGAACGCUGGCGGCAUGCCUAACACAUGCAAGUCGAACGAGACCUUCGGGUCUAGUGGCGCACGGGUGCGUAACGCGUGGGAAUCUGCCCUUGGGUUCGGAAUAACAGUUGGAAACGACUGCUAAUACCGGAUGAUGACGUAAGUCCAAAGAUUUAUCGCCCAAGGAUGAGCCCGCGUAGGAUUAGCUAGUUGGUGAGGUAAAGGCUCACCAAGGCGACGAUCCUUAGCUGGUCUGAGAGGAUGAUCAGCCACACUGGGACUGAGACACGGCCCAGACUCCUACGGGAGGCAGCAGUGGGGAAUACUGGACAAUGGGCGAAAGCCUGAUCCAGCAAUGCCGCGUGAGUGAUGAAGGCCUUAGGGUUGUAAAGCUCUUCUACCCGGGAUGAUAAUGACAGUACCGGGAGAAUAAGCUCCGGCUAACUCCGUG